This is a long non-coding RNA of Nematostella vectensis (starlet sea anemone), 711 nucleotides long. RefSeq lists it as uncharacterized. The record is from RefSeq and is a predicted model, not a curated record. Lineage: Eukaryota; Metazoa; Cnidaria; Anthozoa; Actiniaria; Edwardsiidae. The transcript is spliced from 2 exons.
UCAAAGUUCUGUAGGAAAACUAAAUCUCAAUCAAAUUCAAUUUCCUUUUCAUAAUUUGAAAGCUUAUCAAUGUUUCUUUCUGCUAGUGAAAGGUGGUUAUACGGACUUUAAUUUAAAGUUUCGGAAACACCCAGUCACUAUUAGGCUGUAAAAACAUUGAUCCUCGAUUUCUACGUUUUAUAUUUUUUCAUAAUUUCUGAGAUACCUCCUUAUUAUAUAAUCUGAAGAUUAGUUGACAGGUCUUUCAAAUUUUCGUUAAAGUAAAUAAGUAUUAAUAAAAGAAUCGAUAAAUACAUCAUUGAGAUACAGAAGGAAUAAUGCACGCUCAUUCGACGGGACUCCUGUGGUAUAUAUCAUUUGUAGUGUUACCUUGGCAGCAGUUUAUCUGAAGACAGUUUGAGUUGGAGAACUGUUUUCGAGACGAGCCGUGGUUGCACGAUCCUUCAUCAUCGAAAAUCAUCCACCAUCCGAAGUUAAACAUCCAUUUUUACCUUCUAAAUACUUUGUAUAAAGAUUUUGGAGCACAUCCGGAAGGUUAAAUAAUCACUUCUACUGCCCUGCCUGGUGUGUGGUGGAUAAGAGGCUCAACUCAGUUUGAUUAGCAUUGGUCACCUGUACAGCAGAUAUGGGGUUCAACUACAGUGAUUAUAAGGAUUAGCCCAGUUUGAAUAGCAUUGGUCUUAUGUACAGUGAAUAUAUGGAUUAGCCCAG